AUCAUUGACCUAGGACAAAUAUAGGUUCAACUUCUGACAGCGAUGGUCUAAAACAUCAUAAGAAUGGACUACACGCUAUGGAUGUUUUAUAGACUGUGAAAUUUAGCUCCAUCUGGCUCAGAAGUAUCUUGCACCUGGCAAACAAUGUGGGAAAUAUUUGAAGGGAACCCUCAUCAUCAGAAGCAUAAAAGAUCCCGAUCUGAAAGACUUUGAACAUAUUAUAACAUGAAAUAAUACUAAAUAAUGCCUCAGUACGACACAAAAUAAAAGGAUUGGAAAUAUAUUAUUAUUU
This is a long non-coding RNA of Leptidea sinapis, 292 nucleotides long. RefSeq lists it as uncharacterized. The transcript has 3 exons. NCBI's taxonomy places the organism in Eukaryota, Metazoa, Arthropoda, Insecta, Lepidoptera, Pieridae. The record is from RefSeq and is a predicted model, not a curated record.